GAAUUAUGAAUUAAUAAAAAUUAUUUUGGUAUUUUUUAACAUAAAAUAUUUCAUCUUCUAAUGAACUCCUAUGUUAUGGUGAAGUCCUUAGGACUAUUUAGACUCGACAAAGGAGGAUUUAUCAUUUAGUCCUUAAAUCUGUUCGCGACCAAAUGAUAUGUUGUUACCAAGGACGACAACGUUUAUCAAGCAUAGGUCAUUGUGUGCC
RNAcentral lists this long non-coding RNA (208 nucleotides) under Elaeis guineensis (African oil palm). RNAcentral's name for it is "long non-coding RNA (EGUI_LNC035674)". Lineage: Eukaryota; Viridiplantae; Streptophyta; Magnoliopsida; Arecales; Arecaceae. The record is from RNAcentral.